RNAcentral lists this ribosomal RNA (264 nucleotides) under uncultured archaeon. Its description in RNAcentral is "partial 16S ribosomal RNA". It matches the Rfam family "Archaeal small subunit ribosomal RNA", at positions 717 to 982 of the family's 1478-position model. The record is from RNAcentral.
AGUCACUGACAUUAGAUACCCGUGUAGUCCUAGCUGUAAACGAUGCGGACUUGGUGUUGGGGUGGCUUUGAGCUGUCCCAGUGCCGAAGGGAAGCUGUUAAGUCCGCCGCCUGGGAAGUACGGUCGCAAGACUGAAACUUAAAGGAAUUGGCAGGGAGCACCACAACGCGUGGAGCCUGCGGUUUAAUUGGAUUCAACGCCGGACAUCUCACCAGAGGCGACAGCUGUAUGAUAGCCAGGUUGAUGACUUUGCUUGACUAGCUG